This 235-nucleotide ribosomal RNA is filed under the name uncultured Actinomycetales bacterium. RNAcentral describes it as "partial 16S ribosomal RNA". It matches the Rfam family "Bacterial small subunit ribosomal RNA", at positions 96 to 334 of the family's 1533-position model. The record is from RNAcentral. Lineage: Bacteria; Bacillati; Actinomycetota; Actinomycetes; Actinomycetales.
UGGCGAACGGGUGAGUAACACGUGGGUGAUCUGCCCUGCACUCUGGGCUAAGCCUGGGAGACUGGGUCUAAUACCGGAUAGGACCAUGCUUUAGUGUGUGUGGUGGAAAGUUUUUUCGGUGUAGGAUGAGCCCGCGGCCUAUCAGCUUGUUGGUGGGGUAAUGGCCUACCAAGGCGGCGACGGGUAGCCGGACUGAGAGGUUGGUCGGCCACAUUGGGACUGAGAUACGGCCCAG